RNAcentral lists this ribosomal RNA (541 nucleotides) under Stenopsyche marmorata. RNAcentral's name for it is "partial 12S ribosomal RNA". RNAcentral also lists the same sequence under 1 other name. The record is from RNAcentral. Lineage: Eukaryota; Metazoa; Arthropoda; Insecta; Trichoptera; Stenopsychidae.
AACAAAAAAUAUGAAUAUAUAAUUUUAUUUAUAUUUAAAUUAAUUGUUAUAUGUAUAUAUAUAUAUAUAUUAUUAAAAAGUGAAAUUUUAAUAAUUUAAAUAUAAUAUUUAUUUUAUAAUUAUGAUUUUAAAAAAUUUUUAUUAUAGACUAGGAUUAGAUACCCUAUUAUUUUUGUUAAAAACUAUAAAAAUUAAAAUAAAGUAUUUAAAGAUAUAAUCUUAAAAUUUAAAGAAAUUGGCGGUAUUUUAAUCAGGUUAGAGGAACUUGUCGUGUAAUUGAUAACCCACGAAUGAAUUUACUUAAAUUUUUAGUUUGUAUAUCGUUGUUAUUUUAAUAUUUUUAUUGAAAUUUUGUUAAUAUUAAAAAAUUUUUAUUGAAAAUUGAAAUCAAAUCAUGAUGCAGCGUAUAUUUAAGAAGAUAUUUAUUGAUGAGUUACAUUUAUUAAAUAAAUAAUAGAUUUAUUUUUGUAAAUAAAAUAAUGAUAUUGGAUUUAAAAGUAAUUUAAACUAGCAUUGUUUAAAUGAUUAUUGUUAUAAAAUA